GUGAAUCAUCGAAUUUUUGAACGCAAAUUGCACUCUCCGGUUUUCCGGGAGCCUAUGCCUGUUUGAGGUCCAUCCUAACUAAAAUCGGCCUAGUAGUUUGCUGUGUUUUUCACGGUAACUUUGGUCGGAAUCUGGGUCAUCUUAUACCGAAAGGUUUUUAAGCGCCUUAAAAUUUUCUUUACGAUCUCCCGAACGUUUCUACGCUUCUCUUGCACGUUCAAGGUA
RNAcentral lists this unclassified non-coding RNA (225 nucleotides) under Glomus sp. Its description in RNAcentral is "partial contains 5.8S ribosomal RNA and internal transcribed spacer 2". Lineage: Eukaryota; Fungi; Glomeromycota; Glomeromycetes; Glomerales; Glomeraceae. The record is from RNAcentral.